Molecule: non-coding RNA, 75 nt
Organism: Rhododendron molle
Lineage: Eukaryota; Viridiplantae; Streptophyta; Magnoliopsida; Ericales; Ericaceae
Source: the annotation of a GenBank genome assembly
GGGGACAUGGCCGAGUGGUAAGGCAGGGGACUGCAAAUCCCUUUUCCUUGGUCAACAAUAAUUAUAGUUUUGCCA